GAUGAAGAACGCAGUGAAAUGCGAUAAGUAAUGCGAAUUGCAGAAUUUCCGUGAGUCAUCGAAUCUUUGAACGCACAUUGCGCCCACUGGUAUUCCGGUGGGCAUGCCUGUUCGAGCGUCAUUAUCCUCCCUCAAACCCCGGGUUUGGUGUUGGACCCAAGUUGUGUGAACAACUGGUCUUAAAGACAAUGACGGCGUCCGUGGGACCCUCGGUGCAACGAGCUUUUAGGAGCACGCGGCGAGUUGCAAGGACCUUCCGGGCCGGUCUCCUUUACUAUUUUACAAGGUUGACCUCGGAUCAGGUAGGAAUACCCGCUGAACUUAAGCAUAUCAAUAAGCGGAGGA
This 345-nucleotide unclassified non-coding RNA is filed under the name soil metagenome. RNAcentral's name for it is "partial contains 5.8S ribosomal RNA, internal transcribed spacer 2, and large subunit ribosomal RNA". The stretch from base 1 to 121 matches the Rfam family "5.8S ribosomal RNA", at positions 35 to 154 of the family's 154-position model. The record is from RNAcentral.